RNAcentral lists this ribosomal RNA (496 nucleotides) under uncultured bacterium. RNAcentral describes it as "partial 16S ribosomal RNA". It matches the Rfam family "Bacterial small subunit ribosomal RNA", at positions 29 to 507 of the family's 1533-position model. The record is from RNAcentral.
AUGAACGCUGGCGGCGUGCCUAAUACAUGCCAGUCGAGCGAACAGACGAGGAGCUUGCUCCUCUGACGUUAGCGGCGGACGGGUGAGUAACACGUGGAUAACCUACCUAUAAGACUGGGAUAACUUCGGGAAACCGGAGCUAAUACCGGAUAAUAUAUUGAACCGCAUGGUUCAAUAGUGAAAGACGGUUUUGCUGUCACUUAUAGAUGGAUCCGCGCCGCAUUAGCUAGUUGGUAAGGUAACGGCUUACCAAGGCAACGAUGCGUAGCCGACCUGAGAGGGUGAUCGGCCACACUGGAACUGAGACACGGUCCAGACUCCUACGGGAGGCAGCAGUAGGGAAUCUUCCGCAAUGGGCGAAAGCCUGACGGAGCAACGCCGCGUGAGUGAUGAAGAUCUUCGGAUCGUAAAACUCUGUUAUUAGGGAAGAACAAAUGUGUAAGUAACUAUGCACGUCUUGACGGUACCUAAUCAGAAAGCCACGGCUAACUACGUG